This is a long non-coding RNA of Alnus glutinosa, 565 nucleotides long. RefSeq lists it as uncharacterized. The record is from RefSeq and is a predicted model, not a curated record. NCBI's taxonomy places the organism in Eukaryota, Viridiplantae, Streptophyta, Magnoliopsida, Fagales, Betulaceae. The transcript has 4 exons.
GCAUUUAGAAGACUCUAUGAACAAGUUGAUCUUGGAUGGGUUUAUGCCAUUACCAAAUAUGAACCUAUUGCAAAAAUAGCUGAUGCUGUAUACGGUGUUUGGGCUAAAUAUCGUCUUCCAAUCACAGGUCGACCACCUUUAGAAGAGAUUUUGGAGGCGCGAAAGAAGAACAAGGGUGAAGCAUGUAAUGACAAAAAUGCUUGUAAAACGUGAACUUGCUCAAUACUUGCCAGAAGUAGAGUUUUCAGGGCUCGCUCUUUAUUUGCUUCCAUAUAUCAUCUUCAAAAUUCAGCUGUAUCUGUGCUCAUAUCCAGAAGCCGUAACAAGAUAAAAGAGGCGUGGCAGUUCCCUCAAAAUACUCUCUUUGCCUCAAGAAAGAAAAUACAUUUGUAGUCUUUUUUUCAAUCUCACUGCUACAUAAUUUGGUAUAGCAAUACGAGUGUAAAUUUUAGAUUCAUCUACAUUUUUCAAGUAACCAUCAAAUUGUCUAGUUGAUAUGUGCUCUUGUUAUGAUAUUAAGUAUCUCACAUGGUUUAAAUGCAAUCUUAACUACGUGUAUUAGGCU